Molecule: ribosomal RNA, 465 nt
Filed under: uncultured bacterium
Lineage: Bacteria
Description: partial 16S ribosomal RNA
Rfam family: Bacterial small subunit ribosomal RNA
Source: RNAcentral
GAUGAACGCUGGCGGCGUGCUUAACACAUGCAAGUCGAACGGAAAGGCUCCUGCUUGCAGUGAUACUCGAGUGGCGAACGGGUGAGUAACACGAGGGUGAUCUGCCCUGCACUUCGGGAUAAGCCUGGGAAACUGGGUCUAAUACCGGAUAGGACGAUGGAUUGGAUGCCAUUGUGGAAAGUUUUUCGGUGUGGGAUGAGCUCGCGGCCUAUCAGCUUGUUGGUGGGGUAAUGGCCUACCAAGGCGUCGACGGGUAGCCGGCCGGAGAGGGUGUACGGCGACAUUGGGACUGAGAUACGGCCCAGACUCCUACGGGAGGCAGCAGUGGGGAAUAUUGCACAAUGGGCGCAAGCCUGAUGCAGCGACGCCGCGUGGGGGAUGACGGCCUUCGGGUUGUAAACUCCUUUCGCUAGGGACGAAGCGCAAGUGACGGUACCUGGAGAAGAAGCACCGGCUAACUACGUG